UACGUUCCUCGAGCCGCUUGGUACAUCUGGACCGUCCAAUCUAGCGCACGUGCCGUGUGCGCAGCUCCUACGGCCUGGGGUUGAUGACGUGGCCGUGCAUGGGAUCCCCUUGGAAUAAUAUAUUUGAUUGCGUCACAAACGAAAGGACAAAAAUAUGAUAUGAUGGAGAUCCAAUGAGGACGCGCACCGUGGCGAUUAUCGAGAGGGAGGAGAGCGUCUUAGGUUGUUA
RNAcentral lists this long non-coding RNA (229 nucleotides) under Amborella trichopoda. RNAcentral describes it as "long non-coding RNA (ATRI_LNC000235)". Lineage: Eukaryota; Viridiplantae; Streptophyta; Magnoliopsida; Amborellales; Amborellaceae. The record is from RNAcentral.